This 165-nucleotide ribosomal RNA is filed under the name Crepis capillaris. RNAcentral describes it as "5.8S ribosomal RNA". It matches the Rfam family "5.8S ribosomal RNA". Rfam says of the family: 5.8S ribosomal RNA (5.8S rRNA) is a component of the large subunit of the eukaryotic ribosome. It is transcribed by RNA polymerase I as part of the 45S precursor that also contains 18S and 28S rRNA. Lineage: Eukaryota; Viridiplantae; Streptophyta; Magnoliopsida; Asterales; Asteraceae. The record is from RNAcentral.
ACAAACGACUCUCGGCAACGGAUAUCUCGGCUCACGCAUCGAUGAAGAACGUAGCAAAAUGCGAUACUUGGUGUGAAUUGCAGAAUCCCGUGAACCAUCGAGUUUUUGAACGCAAGUUGCGCCCGAAGCCAUCCGGUUGAGGGCACGCCUGCCUGGGCGUCACGC